Molecule: long non-coding RNA, 35547 nt
Filed under: Daucus carota (carrot)
Lineage: Eukaryota; Viridiplantae; Streptophyta; Magnoliopsida; Apiales; Apiaceae
Description: long non-coding RNA (DCAR_LNC004386)
Source: RNAcentral
UCAUGCCCAUACACAUCAACUUUGGAGUCCAUGAAUCUCUCCGGGUGGAAUGACAGUGGAUUUUCCCAUAGCGUGGGAUCGCGUCCCAAAGCCCAUACAUUCACCAUCACUUGCGAAUUCUUGGGAAUUAUAUAGCCACUUAAUUCAACAUCUUCUGUCACUUGGCGUGGUAGCAAGAAGGGAACCGGUGGGUGCAACCUUGCACUCUCUUUCACAAUGCAUUGCAAAUAAGUCAACUUAGAAAUGUCUGCUUCUUCUUUGAGUCAGUCCACAAGUACACUUGUUGCAAGUGCAGUUAAGUAAUGGAUCAACAUCUGUGAUUCCAUCCCAAAUAGUUCUGAUCUUUGUGUAAAACUCAGAAACUGAAUCAGUUCCUUGUUUAAGCUCUAGAAGCUGUUGUUCAAGUGAAUAAAUCUGUGUCAAAGAGGCAAUUCCAAAUCGUUCUUCAAUAUCAUCCCAAAUUUCUUUAGCUGUUUUCAUAUUAAGAACACUUUGAGCAAUAACCUCAUCCAGAUUGAAGAGGAGCCAAGAAAUAACAAGAUCAUUGCAACGUUCCCAUUGUUUAAACAACACAUCAGUAGAUCGAGGCAUCGGAAGACUUCCAUUAAUGAAACCAAGCUUAUUCUUAGUAGAUAAAGUAAGCAUCAUAGAUCUUCGCCAGUUAUGAUAACCGACACCAUUAAACUUGACAGAAACAAGUUGAAAUGAGGUAGUAUCUGAAGGAUGAAUGUAAUACACACUGGAUGGAUCAUUAUUGGAGAUCAAUCGACUAGUUUCAGACGCCAUUAGAUGAUGAUAAUCAGAAAUUUCACAGUAAUGAACACAGCAAGCAGAUGAAUCAAUGAACAGAAGUGAUUCACAGUUAAAGAAUCAAGAAUCGGUGUUGAAUUGUAUAUGCACAGAUACAAUCGGAAACUAAGUAAGUAACGAACAGGAGAUGAAUGCGUAGAUGAAACCUGGAGAUGAACACGAUGAACACGAUGAGAUUACGAUGAGAUUAUGAUGAGAGUGAUCGAAUUCGCCAUUUUAGCUCUGAUACCAUGUAACUUGUAUAAACUUGAUGAAGAAGAAAGAAAACAUUUCUAUUGAUUACUCUGAAAUGAUUACAAGCCUGUCUUUAUAUACAUGAGCUACUACUCUAGCUGUAUAACAGAUUCUGUUAUACAAGUGGUGGUGUAACUAACUAGACUGUAACUACCUACCUCUACUGUAACUAAUUGUUUUUACUGGAAUGUAAACUAACAUUAUAUAUACAAUAGAACAAAUCACUUAUAUACACAAGGAAAUAUUAUCUUACCGUGAGCAAGUGAUUGGCAUGUCGUUUCUCAAUUUCAUUUGUUCGCAACAAUUUUAACAGUUCGUCGAGCACAUCUGUACUAGGACUGUCCUCAGAGUCACCCAAUUUCUUCAGCUCCAAACGCUCAUUGACCAUACCAUCAAACAACUUGAUUAACUUACCAAAACCAACAGUUGAUCGUCGUUUGAUACCUUGAGGAUCGAAAGACCUAAGAAUAGGAAAAUAAUCCACUAAAUUAGGCGUACCUGCCUCCUUCAUAAUGUUCCACACCGUGUCCUUAAACUCCUUAGUGUCACUGCCAUGAUACGGAUCUGCCAUAUCCUUGGAAAACAUGGUAUUCGACAAAAGAUUAAGCGCGGUCUGAAAAGCAGCACGACCAAUAUCUACAGCCUCCCCACUUUCGCUACACUUAGUAAUGUAUCCAACAAGCUCCUGCACCUUGUUUGUUCGAAGAUGAUGAUUUGCAUCCAGCUUGCUAGUAGCAAAAAUAUAAGUGCUCAUAAUUUUUCUUAGAUUCCUCCACUGAUUUCCAACAGGCGACCAUGCAACCGAGGACUUGAAAUGGUCGCAUGCACGUAUAGCAUCGGGCAGGGGCCGAGUAGAGAAGGCCAGGUCUUGCUUUUGGAGGACUUCUCGAGCUGCAGUCGGUGAAGAGAUGACUAUGGUGGUUAUACGUCCCAGUUUUAGACUCAUAAUUGGACCAUAAACAUGAGCCAGGUUGGCUAAGGAUUUAUGCGGGUGUUUACCGAGAUUGUGUAUAUUUCCUAUUAGUGGCAAUGGGGAGGGACCUGGUGGAAGCUUUUGAACAGCUUUGACAUUGUUUCUUUGUAGUAAGAAGAGUGAAAAGGCCAGCACUAUGCAGAGCAAACUGAUCAAAAAGAUCUCCAUAUGCCCCAGUUCUGGUUUAACCUUGACGAGAGGUAAAAAUACUGAUAAAAAAUAAAGAAGACGAUUGUUGGAUGCUUAUACAAUUGUGUUAGUUUCUGUUUCUAUUUGUACACAAACACGACCGACAGAACAUAGAAAUGAAUGGCUCCAGUUCAAACAACCUAAAACGUCAAUGUCCAGAAUACUGAUUAAAGAUUUUACGGUUCAAUUAUUUCUCAAACAAAUGUUGCAGGCAAAAGAACCUUUUUUUAGUUAAGUAUCGGAUUUUUAUUGAUUUCAAUCUCAUAAAUAGUGAUGACGCUAUUUUUUUUUUUUGAAAUAAAUCGGACUUGCAUUAAUCAACUACCCUCCGGGGCUAGGUUACACAAGAUAAAAUCAGGAGCAGUAUGAUACCAUUCCUGAGGACCUGACAUAGAACAAGCAGCCUGUGCUGAAGAGUGGGCUACAUUAUUCGCAGAUCGCAGUACAAACAUAACUAACACUUCCUGAAAGUGUUUAAUCAACUCCCUGCAAUCUUCCACAAUCGUGUCAAAGAUUGAAUUGCCGUGACCUGCAUGAAUUGCAUCUACUAACAACUUUGCAUCUGAUUCAAAAAUACAUUUCUGUGUCCUCCAUGUCUUUACCCAUGAUAAUGCUUCCUUUAAGCUCAAAGCUUCAGCCUCCCGCGCAUAACUCCUGCCUUGCACCAGAGUUGUUCUGGCUCGAAGAAACUCUCCCCUUUCAUUUCUCACGACACAGCCAACACCCACAUACUCACUGUCUUGUCUGCAGGAUGCAUCUAUAUUAAUCUUAAUCCAUCCCUCUGGUGGUGGACACCACUGUCGCGUAUGCACAUGAACUCCAGUUCCGCUUUUACAGGUUUCCUCUUGAGCUUUUUUCCACUCCUGAAGCAUGUUCAAAGCCAUAGAUUUAAUGCCAAAGACAGAUGAAUUAAUCUUUUCCCACACCCACUUAUUUCUUCUAAACCACAAGCACCAGCAAAUUACUCCUAUCAACGCACACUGUUCAUUAGUUCCACCAAUUAAUUCCUGAUUAUCUAAUUAAUUGCUAAACGGUGAUUCAACCGAUUAAUAUUAAUUUCCAAUUUUUAAAACACUGAUGUGGAUAAUUUUUAUCAUCUCUAGCCUCCUCGUACAGGAAUUCUUAUCGGUGGUGUUUAUAGGGCCGACUUUAGAGAUUUGGGUGCUCUAGACGAUUUUUGAAACCAAUGCUCCUAUUUUUUCCGGAUCAUAAAUGAAAAUUUUACAUACAUUCAAAUCAAUAUACAAUGACCAUACAAAAAAAAUUCAAUAUACAAUGACAUCAUAAAAAUAUUGAUUUAAGAUUAUUACAAUCAAUUCAAAUGCAUGUAAAUAUAUAAAUACAAAAAUUUAUCAUUAAAUACUACAUAUGCAUGAAUUUGUUGAUGUACUAGGAUAGUGGUGUCCCAAGACGUUCGCCUUGGUAUGGCGACCGAGGACCAUUUCUCGGUGUUUCCGUUGAGAGAUUUAAGAAUUAGCCAGAUAGUUCACAACCUUCGUGACAACAAUCAUAAUCUGCAACGUACUUCCGAAAGCCAUAGUUAUUGCUCUCCAAACACUAACCAUAGAUUAGGACACUCUUGGGGGCAUGGCCCUGAUGUAGCUCUGUUGUAGACUGAUAUAUAAUACAGAACAUCAGAGCCCGUUUUGGUGUGUGGAAAAACUAAACCUUACUCCGUUAUUUAGAAACGCUAAUAAACUUACUGGUGUAGGAAAUGACAAAUAUGAGAAAGAAAAAUGCUAACUAUCUCAAAACUCAAAACUGAGACUCUGAGAGAAUAAUAGUCAAUAUUUUAGAAUUCAUAUAAAUAAUUUGAUGAGAAAUUAAGAAAAAGAAAUGUAAAAAAUAUCGAGACAACUAGAUUAUUAUUAUAAUUGUCCAAUAGUUAGAGAGUUGAAGUCAAGCUAUAUUUGUUUUUCAUAAAUUUUGUCACAAAAGAUGUGUCGUUUUUGUAUAAUUAAGAAGUAGUUAUUUGGUAGUUAUCUAUUCUGUUUUGAGAAUCGAAUCCAUGCACGCCUCUUGUCGAUUUCCACAGGUCUGGUUAGCUAAUCACUAAAUCACUNUUUUUUUUUUUUUUUUCUUUUCCCUACUGACAUUUAUUAAAAUUUUAUGUCAAGAUAAAAAUUUCUCCUCAAGCUGGCUUCCCUUGAAACUCCCUGCAGCCGAAGUUGUGAUACUUAACUGCAGUUCAGGUCUGUACACCAUACACAGUUUAUUGGGAGUAUGGAUAAACUGAAAGUUCUCAUUGUCACAAAUUAUGGGUCUUCCUUCUCUAAGCUAGACAACUUUUAUUGUCUUGGAAGUUUACCCAUUCUAAGGCGAAUCAGAUUAGAACGAGUUUCAUUAUCUUCCCUUAACACGUCCUCAAUCGAGUUGGUGAACCUGCAGAAGAUAACUUUUACUAUGUGUGAGAUCGGCGAGGCAUUUGAGAAUGGUACUAUGGACCUCCCUCGCAUCUUCCCUAAUCUUCUGGAACUUGAGAUUGACUGUUGUGAUGACUUGAUGAAAUUGCAUGUUGGAAUCUGUAAUGUUGUCAGUCUUAAGUAGAUCAGCAUCACUUACUGCAAUGAGCUAUCUUCACUUCCAGAGGAGAUCGGCAGGUUCAGAAAUCUUGAAGUUUUGAGGCUCAAUUCUUGUACAAAGCUACUCCCUCCGUCCCAAUGAAUUAUAUACAUUGGGAACGGACACGGAGACCAAGAAAAAGUGUAAGAAAUAAGUAAAGUUAGAUGGAAAGUGGGUAAAGUGGUGGGAUCCACAUAUUUUUUAACACUCCCUCUGUUUCAUAUUACAUGUCCACCUUUGAUAACUAAAAAUUGUUUCAAAUUAGUUGUCCCAUUUCAACUUUCAAUGCAAUGUAGUCAAUCGUAGUAUUUGCUAGAAGAAGUUUAUACCACAUCCUACUAAAUUAUAUUUCCUAGAUCAAAUAUUUCCUACAUAUUAUACUUGGUCAAUGCAAUAAAUACAAUAAUAAAUGAAAGUUUUUUACAAAAGUUAGUUUUUCUUAAUAUAUGUGAUUUGUUUAAAAGUGGACAUGUAUUAUGAAACGGAGGGAGUAAUAGAUUUGAGAUAGUGGAGUAAGGUAGGGUGUAAUAGUGUUUUUAUUAUUAUAUAAUAGAGAUAGUGGGAGAAUGUAGUGGGUGUAGUAGUGUUUUAUGUUAUAAAAAGUUGCUAUUUUGGGAAUGUAUAGAAAUGAUAGGACAUCCCAAAAAAGAAACUGUAUAUAAUUGAUUGGGACGGAGGGAGUAUUAGAGUUGCCAGAGUCAAUUGGAAACUGUUGGAAUAUAAUCUGAAACUUGUAUUUGAAUAUUAAUGUUUAUGUUUUAUUUUAUUUGUUUUAUUGAAUAAAUUGUACGUGUCUUAGUGUCUUAGUAAACGUUUGUGAUGGUUAGCGCAGUAGUAGCUAUAGACCCGUUUAUAGUUCAGUUUCAGUAUUAUCAGGGAUGUGGAAGAAGUGUAGUCAUGAUAGGAUGUUAGUUGCUAUUUUUUAGGUAUCACCUUUAUGUGUCUAGCCUAUUUAUAUCUGAUUGUAUGCGUUCAUUUUUAACAAGAAGAGAGGAUACAAUGUAGUCCCUAGAGAGCAGUUUGUUCUUGUACAUAUCAAAUUGCUAUACUGUUCAUUCUAUAGAUAUAAAUUUCUAGUCUUAUAUUUUCAACAUGGUAUCAGAGCGAGGUUGGGAGAGAGUAUCAGGGCUUAACAGCUUUCCUCCGAUCCUUGGGUUGUUGCUGGGUGUUGGCGUCACGGGUGCCGGGCGUUGUGCUGCAGAGGCGUUGUGUUGCGGAGAAGAUGUAGUUUUAAGUAGGCGUUGCAGAAGGAUGGUGGCAAAGCUACACGUGUAGUAUGGGAUGCAUGUGUAGUAUAUGGCUGUCGAGAAAGACAAGGCGAUGCCGGAGAAGUACGUGAGAAGAAAAUCACGGCACAAGUGGUCAUGGAAGAAAUUUUUAAUUUAGAAUUGUGGGUGAGAAGUGCACCCUGGAGAGAAGUACUUCAAAAUUGUUUUUGAUGAGAAGUGCAUCAAACUUGAUAGUGGUGAGAAGUGCAUCACAAAAAUGAAAAGAUGGUGGUGAGAAGUUCAUCACAGAUGAAGAGAAGUGCUUCAUAAAUUCAGUUCAGAUAAGUUUCAGAUUAAGGGGGUGAUUGUUGGAAUAUAAUCUGAAACUUGUAUUUGAAUAUUAAUGUUUAUGUUUUAUUUUAUUUGUUUUAUUGAAUAAAUUGUACGUGCCUUAGUAAACGUUUGUGAUGGUUAGCGCAGUAGUAGCUAUAGACCCGUUUAUAGUUCAGUUUCAGUAUUAUCAGGGAUGUGGAAGAAGUGUAGUCAUGAUAGGAUGUUAGUUGCUAUUUUUUAGGUAUCACCUUUAUGUGUCUAGCCUAUUUAUAUCUGAUUGUAUGCGUUCAUUUUUAACAAGAAGAGAGGAUACAAUGUAGUCCCUGGAGAGCAGUUUGUUCGUGUACAUAUCAAAUUGCUAUACUGUUCAUUCUAUAGAUAUAAAUUUCUAGUCUUAUAUUUUCAACAGAAACCUCCAAAAAUUAACAGUUCUUGAUUUAUCUGAUUGCUUAAGCAUAAGUAAUUUGCCUAGAACAGUAGGUGGGUUGUGUGCUUUAAAAAAGUUCCACAUGAGAGGUUGCCAAGGAUUGUCAGACCUACAUAAGCUUCCGACAUCUGUAAAAGAUCUGACACUAUUAGAGAAGGUGGUAUGUGAUGAAGAAGCUAGUCAUCUAUGGAAAACAUAUCGAAGUCAUUUGAAAAAUCUGGUAGUAGAAGAGGUAAAAGAAGAUGCAUUUGAAAGCCUUAUGAGGGUCAUCUCACCAAUUCAGCAUUGUUGACACAGCAAAAGAAUGCUGUACAGCGUGUAGAUUUCUGAAAUCAGAAGUUCUGAUUGUAUAAUACUGGCAAGUGGCAACACUUAGGUUUUCAUUUUUAUUCAUAGAUAUGUGUAAAUUCUAUAGAGUAUCAUGCUGAACUGUAAAUCAGUAGCUCUAGAACAGCAUGACUAAGACCCCAUUUGUGAAAUAGAAUGUACUGGAGAACCUGCACUGCAUCGAUCGGACAUUGUAAAUAGAAUGUAGUAAAAUGUCAUUCAGAAUAAUCUCCAGGUUUCCAGAUGCUGUUGUAUUUAAAGUUGGUUAAAGUUUUUUCUUCUCAGUUUGAUAACUCAACUUUAUCAGUAAAAUUGAUUGUGAUAUGAUAUGAAUGGUACAUUACAUCUGAUAUGUUUUAAAUUGAUAGUAACAGAUUUACGUGUUCAAAUUCGCUGUAAUGAACCCAUUUACGUGAAGCAUCCACUUGGGCCAAAUUCAAAUAUGAUGUAUGAAUCAUAAGAGUUGCCAGUAUUGUGAUCGCCAAUGUGCUCUAGUUUGCUAACAUCUCAAAAUUCUUCUAGGUGAUGUUGAAGAUUGCGUGUUUGGUAAAGCUUUCCAUAAAAUUCAUCGCAGAUGUUUUGUCCAUGCAAGUUAUCAUAUUGUCCUAUGUACACAUUUAUAAUAUACUCUCCGUCCCCUCAUUUGUUUACAUUGGGGGACGUGGAUCGGCACGCAUUCUAAUACUCUCGUAAAAUGUAGUUCAAUAAAUUAUUUUGAACUUUUUUUUCUUCUGAAUAAAAAUUUGAUGUUUAAAUUUUUGUAAAAAAAAAAUUCAAAAAUAAGUUAUAAAAUUAUGUUUUAUAUAUAUCUUAAAAUGUGUGUCAAACUAUGUGAAAAAACGGUAAAAAAAUGAAAGAGACAAAGGGAAUAUUAAAGUCAUGCCUACAACACAUAACCGAGUCCUUCACAUUGACAUUCAACUCAAUAAGCGUGCCAGGAUUUUCUCUUCACCGACCUUAGAAAUUUUUGUGAGCUCAUUUAUUACAUUUGAUUUUGACAACAUAAAUUUUUCAUAGAUUUUACAGUAAAUAUACUAUCUAAAAGCAGUAACAAGAAACUGAGAUAGACAUCCUUGUUUCAAAUAUGCAUGAUUGGUAGUUUAAAAACUUCUAGAAAAUCAAUAUUUCAAGUCUAUAAAAUUCCUAAAUAAUUAGAUUUAUUUUUAAAAUAUAUUCUCACAAAUUUGUUUUGUUUAUAUAGGACGGAUGUGCUUUGUCUUUUUUUUUUUUUUUACUAAACAUCGCUAUAAACAUUACAUCCAAAUAAAUAAUUUCUUAAUUUUAAUCAGACUUAUCUAUAUACAUAAUUCCAAAGUCAAAUAACUUUGAUAGGAAGGCAUUCUACCGGUUAAUUUACCACAUGCAACCUAAACGAUCGCAUUGCUGAAUCAUUUUAUUAUCACAACUAGGUGUACAAACCGCGCUUCGCGCGGUCAGUAAAAACAUUACGUUCUAAAAUAACUUGAGGCAUUGAUGGUAGGCUAUCAAAACAAAUAAGAUGUUGAUGAUAUGCUAUCUAUCUAGACUUUUCUUGAAGGAGAAUGCAAGUGAAGAAAGUGAGUAAGAGAAAAUAAUAUAAACGGCCGCCAUAACUUUAUAUUAUUAAUAACAAAUAUCAGUUGCUAUAUUAUUACGAGUUUUGGAGAGUAGAAUAACAACCGCCAAGUAGCAAGUAGAAGAAAAUAGUUUCAUAUAGAAUUUCAACCUAACGAUCAUUAUAUAGAUGUAAUGUAAUAUAGGCUUAUAGCCUACUGGAAGAUAUUAAGAGCGGAAUAAAAAUUACAUAUUUUGUGCAGUGUAAAUAAUCGAACGGUUGUGUCCAGGUAAUAUUGUUUCAAUGUGUUCUUGCAGGACGGAGUUCAAAUGUCGCCUUUGUCUUCUACACUUGCUUGAAAAACACAUCAACUCUGUCAACUUCAUUAGUGAAACACAUGGUAGUUAUCGUUUUUACUUUCAUCUGAACUAUUUUCUGUUUCAAGAACAGAGUCUGAUAGCUCAUGAGUAGUAUUUACAAUUCAAGAACAUAUAAGUACAGACCUCAUGGAAUACCUCAAGUAUGACUCCUCCAUAUUUUUCCCUGUUCAUUGAAACAUAAUAGUUCAGACUUUUUAAAUCUUUUAGCUCAUUAAUAGUACUUGUUGUAAUCAUCUCCAAUAUAGAUUCCCUAAAAUCUUCUCUAGGAUCAUAUGAUGACUUCUCUGAUCCAGCUUAUCUUGAACCAUCAUAUGUUCUGCACUUGCUAUCGUCGUAGUUCUGUCCAAAUUCCCACCUUCGCCGCAUGAAGAGACACUCGGCCAACAGCUGCAGCAGAUGGCCUUCAUCCACCCCUUGGGCUUAAGCUUCUGGUUCUCUAAUUCUCCAGAGCCCUGCAUUCUUAUAAAGGAAUGAAGGACUUGAGCAAACAAUCUAUUUAAUACAUAAAAAGUUUUCAAGCUAGUUGGUGUAACCAUGACUCUCCCUGAGGUCCAGACAAUUUGCUAUUAUCAUGAAAAAUAUGCUUGGAGGACAACAGGAAAUUAGUUCUUUUUUGUUGAAUAAGUUACUAACUUACUGGUUUGAAAAACUCCAUAGAUUUCCAUUAUUGUCCUUUCAAUUUGUAACAGCUCUGCAACUCUAGCUAAUGUAGAAGUAGCAACAGAAUACUGAGACAUGGAAGCUUUCUUUUCAAGUUUUAAAUUUCUAAAUUAUCAAGUAAACCAGGAGUGGGUGGCAUCAUAAGGAAGGAACCGCUGACGAAAAGAAUAACAAACAUGAUUAAAGAUAAUGUAAACCUAAAAAUAUUAGAUAAAUUAGUAUUCUCUACUGGCUUUAGACGCCCACCGGGAAGCUUGCAAAAAGUGUUCCCAUUUUGCCGUAGAAGUAUAUGCGAGGUGAUUGUGUUCUUGAACCUGCAAAAUCAGAUACAUAUGUGGAAAACUUCAUCAUCUUGCAUGACUUUGACAACUCUCAGAGAAAAUCUACGGGGGGAUAAAAUCUGAUUAAUGCAAUUCAUAUCAAACCCUACCCUUUAGGUGUCGUUUGGUUGGGUGGUAUGGAGAAUCAGGUAUGGGUAUGAAAGCAACCAAACCCAUACCUAGUGUUUGGUUGGAUUUUUUUUUAUCUUCAUACCCAUACCUGAAACCCCCCAAUUAUAACUUUUUAAAACCCAAGUGGAGGGGCGGGUAUGAGCUGCUGGUAUGGGUAUCAGUAUUAAUAUUCUUUUCUUAUAUUUAGAAAAAAUAUUAAUAAUAAUAAAUAAAAUAUUUAUAUAUACAAAUAAAUGUUAUUAUUUGAUAAUAAAAAUAUUUAUCAUUUUUUAUUUAAUAAAAUAAUUUAAUUUAAUCAAUAACAUGAUUAUAUUUUUAAUUAAAUAGAUUCAUUCCAACACUCAACCAAACACAAGAUAUCAAGAAUGAUACCUUAACCCCAUACAACUCCAAACCGAUUCUUAAUUCAAACCCCAUAUCACUCCACGAACCAAACGACCCCUUAAAGCUUUCCAGUAAGCAAAUCAAAAGUCUGCAACCAAUACUAAAAUAAGCUGGGAAAAUAGAUAGUCUAUUAGCUCUAAACACAAGCAAAAUCAAUAAAGUGUAAAAGUGCUAGAACAUAAUGUAACAUCUGGCAGGCCAUAGUAACUCCUGGGAGCUUGCACUUACACACAUUAUCACACCCAAAAAAUGUAAAGUGCAACCCAAAUUAGUUGAUUCAUGAACCAAUUAGAAUUGUUUGACCCCAAUAACAGUAUUUCAUGAUAGGAACUACACGUAAAUGGUAAGAAAGAAUAAAACAACAGAUGUGGGAUUAGAAACUGACCUUAACAACAGCCCAGCAAUCAAUCAGCCAAAUCAUCCAAAUGAAUUCCAGCCACAACUUCCCAACCACCCUGCCAAUUUUUCGGCAAGUAUUCUUCGAAAAAGGGUGUGCACAACAACGAAAAAGAAAGCCUGAUAAAAACCCGCAACAAAGAAUUAGACUUAAGUUGGACAACUCUAAAAUUUAUAAUUUAUAAAAUUGAGAGGAGCAUUUGGUAAGCACAAAAGAAAGAGUAGAAAUCUGGAUUACAAUGUAUAAUUUAUAAAACUGAGAUGAACAUUUGGUAAAUCACAAAAGAAAGAGUAGAAAUCUGGGAAUAUUACCGGAAGAAGAUUGACGACUAAGCCAUAGAUGAAGAAGAGGACGGCCACCGGAAGAAUAACAGCUGCUGCAGCAAUCGCCAUAGCCAAGCCAGCCUAACAAAGAGGUCCAAUAGUGUGGGUAGAGCUUAUUUUCGAGUAGGAAAUAACCAAGCGAAAAGAUACAACUGCUGGAGGACCAUUUAUAGCAAACUAUCCGAAGAGAUGAUGAGGCUUCAGUUACGAAACAGGAAAAUUUUGAAGGCUGUACAGGUUCCGGCCGGAUAAAACCGCAAGGCCAGCAGAGAGACAGAGGGCUGUGCGGAAUUAAAAAAUUAAAGAAAUAGAAAUUAAAUAAGAAUAAAAAAGGGCGAGUGUGAGAAGUGAGAAUUGAGUCUAACAACAAUGAGGAAAGAACCACGUAGGCCGCCCUGGAUUUUACUUUAUAUAGAUAUAACUAGGUGUAUAACCCGCGCUUCGCGCGGUUGGUGAGAAUAUUACAAGAUAAAAUCUAAAAAAAUGUUGGGACAUCUUUUAAAAAACUCUUCAAAUAUGAUAUCACUCCAUGAGAAUCAAGGUAUAUCAAAAAUUUAUACACAUAUAUUCUUGAUCAUAUCACUUGCGUUAGGUUAUAUAAAUUUUUCACGCACAAACUAUUUCUUCUUGUUGGUAGAGAAGUUGAAUCUUUUCAAUAUAUCCUUUUUAUUUAUUUAUAACAUUGCAUAGGUUAUUAUUUUUUUAGUUAUCAAAUCAUUUUGACCAACAUAAUUCUUUUAAAAAAAAAUACUUUUUUGACCUUUUUAUAUUUUUCUAAAAUUGUUAAAUCUAAAAUUUAUGCAAUAAACUUAUUCUUUACCACUUGUGUAAUAUUAUAUAAAUAUCUCAGUAUCUCACACAUUAAUUAUUUUUUCUUCCAUCCCUAUUUUUUUUGGUGGAGAGUUGGUAAAAAUUAUUUUUUCUUUCAUCCCUAAUUUCUUUUUGUGAAGAGGUAGAAUCUUUUCAAUAUAUAUUUAUUUUGAAUUUUGUAACAUUACAGUACCCCUAGCAUGAUCUGCAAGAUGAUGCCUUGCAUGCCUUUCAUCAUUUUCUGCACCGUCGGCACGUGCUAUAUAGUUAAGCCCAAACUACAAUAUGAACGAUACAACACAGCCUUCUGAGUUGUGAGCUACUGUAUAUAAACUAAUGCUCAUUACAAACUACAAAGACAAUCCGGUCUUUGGAACACAGCUCACAAGUCACAACAUUUUGUUGGCCGGCCAGGGAAAAAUAUAAGCAUUCUGCUUAUUACAAAAAUUGUCUGAGCUUGCUACUUACAAGUUACAACAUCAAGACUUCCACUUUCCGAAGUUUGCCUAUGCUUGUGUGAUUGCAAACUCCUGGCUCAGCCCGGCUAUCAUAAUUCACAAUGAAUGACAAUUUGUUUCCAAGUAGAUCAUAAACAAAAAAAAUGAUUUGAAUGAAGUUUUGUUAAGCUCGGAUAUGGCCAGCAUAGCCAUAAUGUCUUAAAAGUCCUGCAUCCAGCCUCCAGAGCAAAGAUACCAAUAAAGAGAUUAAUGAUUCAAGCACUCGCAGAGAUUUGUGUGAGACAAAAAGCAGCAGGAAGUUACAUUGCAUGGCUAGAAAUGACAUCAGAUAACAAUAACACAAUCUUGUAUACCUGGAAUCUCAAUUUCACCAAGACUGCCCUCAGAAGAAGGAGGAUCAGCUUUAUAUGCCGCCUCAUUUAGGCUCCUGCACAUUGUCAGUAUAACUCUCAUACUAAAUAUUACCUAAGAGGUAACAAUUUUUGCAGACAUCCCAGUUCCGAUAUAUGUGCAUACAUCUGUAUUUGUGAGUUGUUUUCAAGAAUCAUGACCCCCACACGGCAUCUACAGGCCUUCCAAGACGUCGACAUGUACGGUAAUAAGAGGAUUCAGUGCAAGGGUAUAUCGUAUAUAUCAAUAUAAUAGAAAUGUAUGUUUGAUGAUAUGCAUAAUAACGCCUUACUUCUUAGUUCUUAACAGAAAUGUAUGUUUGAUGAUAUGCAUAAUAACUCCUUACUUCUUAGUUCUUAACAUAACAAACAAACACUUCAUCAAAGUUAAAAUCAAAGACAUAACUUAAUCAUUCAACACAAAAAAGUUUGACCUGAAUUUUCAAUGGUAAUUUCAUGAUAGAAACUACACAUGAGUGGUAAGAAAAAAUAAAACAGUUAAUUCCUGAGAAAUGGGAUUAGAAACAGACCUUAACAGCAGCCCACCAAUCAAUCAGCCAAAAGAGUUCCAGCCACAACAACUCCUCAACCAUCCUGUUAAUCUUUUGGUAAGUAGUCUUCGAAAAAGUAAAAUAUACAUGACAGACAUAGACAUGAGGAAAAGCCUAAAGAUGUUUAGAUUAGCAAUACAUAAGAAGCAAAUAAGAAUCAAACAACAUCAAAUAAGACUCCCCAAUGGAUCAGAGGUAUCACAAGACUAAGUGUUCAAUUUCUAAAAUCACUGAAUAGGCAUCAAAAGACCAAGCCUUCAAUUUCUAAAAUCACUAAAUACCGAAUUCGUAGAGAAGCAGAGAUAAAGAAUGUUAGUAAAAUAUACAUGACAGGCAUAAUAUGAGCAAAACUUAAAGAUGUUUAGAUUAACAUAAGAAGCAGAUAAGAAUCAAACAACAUCUAAUAAGACUCCCCAACGGAACAGAGGUAUCAAAAGACCAAGGCUGCAGCUUCUAAAAUCAAUAAAUAGAUUUCAAGAGACCAAGGCCUCAACUUCUAAAAUGACUAAAUACCAAAAUCGCAGAAAAGCAGGGAUAAAGAUUGAGAGGCUGAGAAGGAGGCAUACUUAUCACCUUUUCAUAGCUGGUUCUGAAAUAGCAAACCGAUGUGGAAGGAUUGCCCAAGGAAGGCCAUUUAUAAGAAACUCCGAGGAGGCACAGAGACUUCAGUUACGAUUUGGGGAAAUCUGCGGAGCCUGUCCAAGUUCCAGCCAGAAAAUAAUUGCAAGGCAAGCGAAGGGCCAUCAGGUUUGAUCAGCACUGCAUACAUCAAUCAAUUAAAGGAGAGCUGAUUUAGCUGAGCGAAGUUCGCUCAGAGAGCAAAGAUUAGAGUUUAAGAGUUUAGGGAGCGACACGUCAGCCGCCCGGGAUUUUACUUUAUAUAGAUAUAUAGAUAUAAUAUAAGAUAUCACAAAAGUUAAAAAUCAUGAAUCAUCUUUACAUCAAUUCAGUUAUACAAUGCACAUCUAGAACAAAAACUUCUUUUUCUAUAAAUAAUUAAUUCACGUGAAUAUGAUUAAUGAUCAAAGAAAGACGGAAGGUUUGCUGACUAAAAAAACUGAGACGUGUUAAUUGUAAUUCCUCUGUCCUAUAAUAUUUUUUAGGUUUAUUUUUAUCAGGUUUGUUGAUACACAUUUUUAUCGUGAAUAUUUUCAAUUUCGUAUUAGUAUUAAAUGUAAAAACAUCACCGUAUCAAAGUACUCAUAAAUAUGAAGUCACUUAUGACUAUAUUUAGUUUUAUAAAUUAGACAUAAAUUAAUAAUUUAUCUCAUGUUAUGAACAGUGCCGACAUAUAAAAUCAAAAAAGUUUUUUUAAACGGGGUGUAAUGUUGUUUGACUUUGUGGGUGUUUGGCUAAGCUUCUUAUAAGUGCUUCCGGGCUUCUUUUAGCACUUUAAGCAGCUUCUACUUUUUACGUGGUGUUUGGCAAAAAUAAGCAGAAGUGCUUAUUUUGGGUUUUUAAGCCAGAAGUUGGAAGCUAGACAUGCUAGCUUUUUUUGAGCUUUUCCCGUGAUUUGCAUUUAUUAUGAAGUUUUAAAAAUUUUAAUAUAUAAUAAACUUUAUUUAUUAAUAAAGUUUUUAAUAUUUUAAUGAUUUGAUUUUUUUUAAAAUUUAUACAUUUAAAUUACCAAACACUCAAUUGACUUAUAAGAAAAAGUUAUCCAAACACUUUUAAUAACUUAUAAGUUAAGUUCAUUUAUCAAUUAUAAUCCACUUCUUUAUUUUAAGCAAUAAAUCACACUUUUAAGUUAAGCCAAACGCCCCCUUUAUCUUAGGCAUUCUUCUGUCCAUUCCAGAAAGAGAAAGGUCAAUUAUUGGAGUGGCAUGUACUGCUCACUGGUCACAAUAUCACUAUUCGAUAAGCUUCGGAUACCGGACAAUUAUAAUUGAUUCAAACCAUUUUGUUUGUUGGUGAUCUGAUUUAAAAUAUAUAUGGAUAAUAACAAAAUCUACCCACUCCUUGCUCUGCAACAGGGGUCCCUUCGUCGUUUCCCCUCAAACUUCCAAAAUGCAUUCACAAUUAUAAUCAAUUAAUAAAUUAUAUAAAAUUAGAAAAAUUAUCAUUUGUAAAAAAACAUCAAUCUUAGAAAUAUGAUUAAUGAGAACAUUUCUAUGAGUUCAUCAUUUGUAAAAAAACAUCAAUCUUAGAAAUAUGAGAGAACAUUUCUAUGAGUUCUAAUAACCAUGAUUAUUAAACAGAUUCAAUUAAACAUGCUAGGUAUCCAUGUACCCUAAUAAUUCGGCCAAAUCUAUAGUUGAUUUUGUAAUUCUAGUUCAUAAAAUUACUUGGCAUAUUGGUUACAAGUUACUUUGUAUGUGGUCAGUAUUGAAUAUAUGCCCUCCAUGGUAACGUAAUUUUCGAUUAAGGCGAUUAAUAUUGUGUUAAUGGAUCAGCUUUUCUUUCAAAAGUUGUGUUAAUUGAGCAUAUCAAUGAUUAUAGUAUUUGUCAACCAACACUCAACUCCAACUGAGAAAAUAACUUUGUGACAGCUUAAGAAGUUGAGUUGAUUAUCAGCAGAAAAGAGAACAAACGUGAGAUGAAAAUAAUUCAAAUACAUAGCUCAAACUUUAAACAACAGUAAAACAUAUAUAAACAUAUAGUCAUAGUCAUAUAGAGUGAAAGUGUUCACGAGCAUGCAGACAUUAUUAACAGUGCUACAUGCACAAAAUUGGGUACACAAUUUUGCACAAAAUAAAGUGGCAACUGAGGUGGAAAGUUUCAAUUGGUGCUAUUAAUGCAUAGGGGCAUGUUCCAAUCAAAAGUUAACACAUACUUAUUAUGUGAAUGCUUUUAUACCCAAUUUUGUGCUUCUAGCAUUUUCCUUAUUAACUACGGAACAACAGGAAUUGCUACAGCACGAAGCGGGUGAAGCUUGGCCAGAGUGAUCCCAAACUUAUCCUCCAUGUCCAAAUCUCCUGGUGCAAUCCCACCUUCAAGUUUCCAGUCGAAACAAUUUAUGAGGGAUCCCACCAUGAUGGGCACCAUCCUCAUGGCCAGGGGCAAUCCAGGACAUUUCCUUCGACCCGCGCCAAAUGGAAUCAGCUCGUAAUCAUGCCCAUACACGUCAACUUUGGAGUCCAUGAAUCUCUCCGGAUGGAAUGACAGUGGAUUUUCCCAUAGCGUGGGAUCGCGUCCGAAAGCCCAUACAUUCACCAUCACUUGCGAAUUUUUGGGAAUUAUAUAGCCACUUAAUUCAACAUCUUCUGUCACUUGGCGUGGUAGUAAGAAGGGAACUGGUGGGUGCAACCUUGCAGUCUCUUUCACAAUGCAUUGCAAAUAAGUCAACUUAGAAACGUCUGCUUCUUCUACUAUCUUGCCUUUUCCAAUCACUUGAUCCAGCUCAGCUUUCGCCUUGGCCAAUACCGUUUCCGGAUUUCUUAAUACCUCAGCCAUCGUCCAUUCCACUGUACUUGAAGUCGUAUCUGUUCCUGCAGCGAACAAAUCCUGCCCAAGUAAAUAAUUGUUAGAAUACUAUAUGAUACUGAUAAGCACUCCUCCUAAUACUUUCACAUUUCGCAGAAUCAAUUACUUACCAUGGUAAGAGCUUUCUUAUAUAUACUAUAGAACAAGAGUAGUGCAACAUGCACAAAAUUGGGUACAGAAUUUUGCACAAAAUGGCGUGGCAACUGAGGUGGAUAGUUUUAAUUGGUGCUAUUAAUGCAUAUACAGGGGGCCAUUCCAAUCAAAUGUUAACACAUACUCAUUAUGUGAAUAUUUUUGUAAUCAAUUUUGUGCAACUAGCAUUUUCCAUAAAACAAAGCACUUAUAUACACAAGGAAAAGGAUUAUCUCACCGUGAGCAAGUGAUUGGCGUGUCCUUUCUCAAUUUCAUUUGUUCGCAACAAUUUCAGCAGUUCGUCGAGCACAUCUGCACUAAGACUGUUGUCAGCUCCCAACUUCUUCAGCUCCAAACGCUCGUUCACCAUACCAUCAAACAACUUGAUCAACUUUCCAAAAUAAACACUUGAUCGUCGUUUGAUACCUUGAGGAUCGAAAGCCCUAAGAAUAGGAAAAUAAUCCACAAAAUUCGGCGUACCUGCCUCCUUCAUAAUGUUCCACACCGUGUCCUUAAACUCCUUAGUGUCACUACCAUGAUACGGAUCUACCAUAUCCUUGGAAAACAUGGUAUUAGACAAAAGAUUAAGCGCAGUCUGAAAAGCAGCACAACCAAUAUCUACAGCCUCCCCUCUUUCGCUACACUUAGUAACGUAUCCAACAAGCUCCUGCACCUUAUUCGUUCGAAGAUGAUGAUUAGCAUCCAGCUUGCUAGUUGUAAAAAUAUAAGAGCUCAUAAUUUUUCUUAGAUUCCUCCACUGAUUUCCAACAGGCAACCAUGCAACCGAGAACUUGAAAUGGUCUUGGGCACGUAUAGCAUCGGGAUNCAAUACCGUUUCCGGAUUUCUUAAUACCUCAGCCAUCGUCCAUUCCACUGUACUUGAAGUCGUAUCUGUUCCUGCAGCGAACAAAUCCUGCCCAAGUAAAUAAUUGUUAGAAUACUAUAUGAUACUGAUAAGCACUCCUCCUAAUACUUUCACAUUUCGCAGAAUCAAUUACUUACCAUGGUAAGAGCUUUCUUAUAUAUACUAUAGAACAAGAGUAGUGCAACAUGCACAAAAUUGGGUACAGAAUUUUGCACAAAAUGGCGUGGCAACUGAGGUGGAUAGUUUUAAUUGGUGCUAUUAAUGCAUAUACAGGGGGCCAUUCCAAUCAAAUGUUAACACAUACUCAUUAUGUGAAUAUUUUUGUAAUCAAUUUUGUGCAACUAGCAUUUUCCAUAAAACAAAGCACUUAUAUACACAAGGAAAAGGAUUAUCUCACCGUGAGCAAGUGAUUGGCGUGUCCUUUCUCAAUUUCAUUUGUUCGCAACAAUUUCAGCAGUUCGUCGAGCACAUCUGCACUAAGACUGUUGUCAGCUCCCAACUUCUUCAGCUCCAAACGCUCGUUCACCAUACCAUCAAACAACUUGAUCAACUUUCCAAAAUAAACACUUGAUCGUCGUUUGAUACCUUGAGGAUCGAAAGCCCUAAGAAUAGGAAAAUAAUCCACAAAAUUCGGCGUACCUGCCUCCUUCAUAAUGUUCCACACCGUGUCCUUAAACUCCUUAGUGUCACUACCAUGAUACGGAUCUACCAUAUCCUUGGAAAACAUGGUAUUAGACAAAAGAUUAAGCGCAGUCUGAAAAGCAGCACAACCAAUAUCUACAGCCUCCCCUCUUUCGCUACACUUAGUAACGUAUCCAACAAGCUCCUGCACCUUAUUCGUUCGAAGAUGAUGAUUAGCAUCCAGCUUGCUAGUUGUAAAAAUAUAAGAGCUCAUAAUUUUUCUUAGAUUCCUCCACUGAUUUCCAACAGGCAACCAUGCAACCGAGAACUUGAAAUGGUCUUGGGCACGUAUAGCAUCGGGAUGGGGCCGAGUAGAGAAGGCCAGGUCUUGCUUUUGGAGGACUUCUCGAGCUGCAGUCGGUGAAGAGAUAAUUAUGGUGGUUAUACGUCCCAGUCUUAGACUCAUAAUCGGACCGUAAACCUGAGCCAGGUUGGCUAAGGAUUUAUGCGGGUGUUUGCCGAGGUUGUGUAUAUUUCCUAUGAGUGGUAAGGGGAAGGGUCCUGGUGGAAGCUUUUGAACAGCUUUCAUAUGAUUUUUUUGUAGUAAGAAGAGUGAAAAGGCCAGCAGUAUGCACAGCACACUGAUCAAAAAGAUCUCCAUAUGCGCUGGUUCUGGUUGAACCUUGACGAAGGGUUAAUAUACUGAUAAACAAUAAAGAAGAUGAGGGUUGGGAUGCUUAUGCAAUUGUGUUAGUUUCUGUUUCUAUUUAUACACAAACAGGACCGGCAGAAAAUAGAAAUCAAUGGUUCCAAUUAAAACAACCUAAAACGUCUAUGUCCAGAAUACUGCUUAAAGAUUUGACACUUCAAUUAUUUCUCAAACAAAUGUUGUUGGCGUCACGCCAUCUCCAACGGUGGAAGCAGUUUUUUAUCUAAAUUUUUGUCCAAAUUUAGACCGAAUUAUCUUUUCAUUUUAACUAUUCGGCCUAAAUUUUGGUCCAAAUUCAUAUACUCCCUCCGUCCCGGUCAAUUCUAUACGGUUUAUUUUUCGGGAUGUCCCAUCAUUUCUAUACAUUCCCAAAAUAGCAAUUUUUUAUAAUAUAAAACACUAUUACACCCACUAAUUUCUUCAGCUAUCUCCAUUCUAUAAUACUAAAAACACUAUUACACCCACCACUUUCCUCCACUAUCUCAAAUCUAUUAUUAAAAAUAAAUGGGUCUCAGCACUUUACCCACUUCUCAUCUAACUUUACUCAAAUCUUACCCUUUUUCUUCGUUUCCGUGUCGAAUCCCAAUGUAUAUUAUUCAUUGGGACGGAGGGAGUAUACAUAUUUUAUUCUUCAAACUUUCUUUUUAUUAUUAUUAUUAUUAUUAUUAUUAUUAUUAUUAUUAUUAUUAUUAUUAUUAUUAUAUUUUAAUAAUAAUAUAAAAUUUCAUAUUAAUCUUAAACUUAUAAAUUUAUUUAAUUAGAAAAACGCUACAUUCAAACAAAGAAAAUCAAAAGAAAUUUAACAUCUUACUAUAUUAACUAAAAAAAAUAAAAGAAAGUUUUAGUUUAUAUUAUGAUUUCUUCUAAGUUGCAGUUUCAAUCAAGUUUUAUCGAGCGUAAUCUCUAUUUUAUGUUUAAUUAAUGUAUUGUUAAUUUGAAUUUAAUAAAUUUAAGAGUCUUUAGUUUUAUUAUAUUUCAGAAUUAAAUAUAAUUUGUAAUUAUUUAAUAAUUAUUCUAACAUAUAAUCAAUCAACUAACUAAAUAUACAAAACAUAAAAGGUUAUUAUUAUAUUAUUAAAAAGAUUUAGGCAAGUGAAUAGGGUUGGCCUCAAUUUAGGCAGGCACCGUUCACCGGUCUAAAUUUAAACCAAGAUUUAGGUCACUAUCGGAAAAAUUUACGUCGAAACUGGUCCAAAUUUGGACCUUUAGCCCCCUGUUGGACUAACAACCAUUUUUUAAUUAAGUUUUGAUUUUUUUUAUUUCAAUCUCAUAAAUAAUGAUAACGUUAUUUCGGUAGUUGUCCCGAUAUUGAUGUGAUUCCACCAAUUAACUCAUGAUUCAACCAUUUAAAUAUAAUUUUUGUUUUUUACGACACUCAUGUGGAUACAUUUUUAUCAUCUCUAAUAAAUUAUUUUUUGUAGCUCUCUUAACUAAUUCUUGAUCCUGCCUCCUUGUACAGAAAUUAUUAACGUUGGUGUUCGUAGAGGUUUGGGUGCUUUAAACGAUUUUUAAAACUGAUGCUCCUAUUUUUCAAGAUCGUAAAUGAAAAUUUUACAUACAUUCAAACUAAUAUACAAUAAUAUAAUAAAAACAUUUAUUUAAAAUUAACACAAUCAAUUAAAGUGCAUGUAAAUAUAUAAAUACAUAGAUUUAUCAUUAUAUGCAAUAGUAGAAUUUUUUGGUACUUGGUACUUUUAUGACAGUGAUGCCCAGGACGUCCAUCUUGGUCGCCAUAACAAGGGCCAGUCCUGGAUGUUUCCGUUGAGAGACUUAUGAAAAUGAACACUUGUUCGUCAUUUAAUACCUUGAGGAUCGAUAGACCUAAGAAUAGGAAAAUAAUCCGCAAAAUUAGGCUUACCGGACUCCAUCAUAAGGAGCCUAAAUGAAGAGCCUCUUGGAGAUGCUCUCUAAUGGAGCUCUUAAACAAGCUCCUAUCCUUCAAUUUAAAGAGCAAAUCAAAAAAUAGUGCUCCAAUGGGCUCCUAGAUGCUCUUUAAAAAUUUAAGAGCCUACCAUCUCUCCACUCUUUUGAAGAGCAUCUAGUAGCUCCUAACUAAUAUUAUAUUAAUUUUUCUCCCACUACACAUUCAACCUUUCUCUCUCUUUUCACUUCUCUCUCUAAUUUAUAUGAAUAAAAUAAGAAUAGAGAGCAUGUUUAAAGAGGAGCAUUGGAGUUGGAAGAUUUUUCAAUGUAGAGCAUCUCCAAUAGUCUCUUAGUUGGCUCCUAUGUAUAAUAUAAAAUAUUAAGCUCCUAGUAAGUUAGUACAUUGUUAGGAGUUUGAACUCCAAUAAUGCUCUUUAUACUCACUCUUAACAUUAUAUUUUAUUAUUAUUUGAACUCCACUAUGAUAAAAGUACAAAGUCACAUGGGUGAUAGUGAAUAUUAUAUUACAAAAAACAAGUUAAGAGCCUUGUAGUGGCUCCUAAAAGAGAGGAGAGAGAAGGGCCUCUUAGUAUUUUUAAGAGCCAUUAAGAGCCUAUUGGAGCUCUAUUUUCUCUUAUCCUCUUUACUUUUGGUUUUAAGAGCCACUUUAAGAGGUUAUUGGAGAUGCUCUUAACUCACUAAGAGCCACAUAUUAUAUUAUAUUUUAAAAAGUGAUUUAAGAGCACCAUUGGAGAUGCUCUAACUUGAGAUUUGAGGAGGGAGAGAAAAAAUGUUGCUCCAAGAGACUCUUAAGUGGCUCUUAAAUCACUAAGAGCCUCUUGUUUCUCUCUCCUCUCUCCUCAAAGUUAAGAGCCACCACAUUAUUCCUAACUUAUUUUUUCACAAUAAAAAAAUCCUUCAUUCCACUUCACCUCCAUCUUUUCAUCUCUUUUGUUAUAGUGGAGCCCAAUAUAUGAAUAAAAUAUGAAAUAGAGAAGAGAUGUAGAGAGUAUUAUUGGAGCCACAUUUUUUAUAUUAUAUUUAGGACCCAACAAAGAAGCUCUUGGAGAUGCUCUAAUGCUCCACACCGUUUCCUUAAACUCCUUAGCUACAUUCCCAUGAUACGGAUCUGCCAUAUCCUUGGAAAACAUGGUAUUAGACAAAAGAUUAAGCGCGGUCUGAAAAGCAGCACGACCAAUAUCUACAGCCUCCCCACUUUCGCUACACUUAGUAAUGUAUCCAACAAGCUCCUGCACCUUGUUUGUUCGAAGAUGAUGAUUUGCAUCCAGCUUGCUAGUAGUAAAAAUAUAAGUGCUAAUAAUUUUUGUCAUCUGUAGCCUCAUUCUUAUCAGUGGUGUUUACAGGGCCGACUUUAGAGAUUUGGGUGCUCUAGACGAUUUUUGAAACUGAUGCUCCUAUUUUUUCAAGAUCAUAAAUGAAAAUUUUACUUACAUUCAAAUCAAUAUACAAUGACCAUACAAAAAAAAAAAGUUCAAUAUACAAUAAAAUCAUAUAAAUAUUGGUUUAAGAUUAACACAAUCAAUUCAAAUGCAUGUAAAUAUAUAAAUACAAAAAUUUAUCAUUAAAUACUACAUAUGCAUGAAUUUGUUGAUGUCCUAGGAUAGUGUGUCCAAGAUCCGUUGAGAGAUUUAAGAGUCAUCCAGAUAGUUCACAACCUUCGUGACAACAACCAUAAUCUGCAACGUACUUCCGAAAGCCAUAGUUAUUGCUCUCCAAACACUAACCAUAGAUUAGGACACUCUUGGGGGCAUGGCCCUGAUGUAGCUCUGUUGUAGACUGAUAUAUAAUACAGAACAUCAGAGCCCGUUUUGGUGUGUGGAAAAACUAAACCUUACUCCCAGAGGCGGAUCUUAGAAGGGGUAAGAGGGGGCAACUGACCCCCCUUAAUUUUUAUUUUUUUUAAUAUUAUACAUAUUUUUAGGUUGUAAAAUUGAAAUUGACCCCCUUAAUUUUUUUGUGACCCCUUUUAUUUUUUUUUACAAAAAAAUUGACCCCCCUUAACUUUAUAGUCAGAUCCGCCACUGCUUACUCCGUUAUUUAGAAACGCUAAUAAACUUACUGGUGUAGGAAAUGACAAAUAUGAGAAAGAAAAAUGCUCAUACUACAAGAUUAUUAUUAUAAUAAUUGUCCAAUAGUUAGAGAGCUGAAGUCAAGCUAUAUUUGUUUUUCAUAAAUUUGGUCACAAAAGAUGUGUCGUUUUUGUAUAAUUAAGAAGUAGUUAUUUGGUAGUUAUCUAUUCUGUUUUGAGAAUCGAAUCCAACCACAGUUUAUUGGGAGUAUGGAUAAACUGAAGGUUCUCAUUGUCACAAAUUAUGGGUCUUCCUUCUCUAAGCUAGACAACUUUUAUUGUCUUGGAAGUUUACCCAUUCUAAGGUGAAUCAGAUUAGAACGAUCGAGUUUCAUUAUCUUCCCUUAACACGUCCUCAAUCGAGUUGGUGAACCUGCAGAAGAUAACUUUUACAAUGUGUGAGAUCGGCGAGGCAUUUGAGAAUGGUACUAUAUAUGGACCUCCCUCGCAUCUUCCCUAAUCAUCUGGAACUUGAGAUUGACUGUUGUGAUGACUUGAUGAAAUUGCAUGCUGGAAUCUGUAAUGUUGUCAGUCUUAAGAAGAUCUGCAUCACUUACUGCAAUGAGCUAUCUUUGCUUCCAGAGGAGAUCGGCAGGCUCAGAAAUCUUGAAGUCUUGAGGCUCAAUUCUUGUACAAAGCUAUUAGAGUUGCCAGAGUCAAUUGGAAACCUCCAAAAAUUAACAGUUCUUGAUAUAUCUGAUUGCUUAAGCAUAAGUAAUUUGCCUAGAACAGUAGGUGAGUUGUGUGCUUUAAAAAAGUUCCACAUGAGAGGUUGCGAAGGAUUGUCAGACCUACAUAAGCUUCCCUCAUCUGUAAAAGAUCUGACGCUAUUAGAGAAGGUGAUAUGUGAUGAAGAAGCUAGUCAUCUAUGGAAAACAUAUCGAAGCCAUUUGAAAAAUCUGGUAGUCGAAGAGGUAAAAGAAGAUGCAUUUGAAAGCCUUAUGAGGGUCAUCUAACCAAUUCAGCAUUGUUGACACAGCAAAAGAAUGUUGUACAGCGUUUAGAUUUCUGAAAUCAGAACUUCUGAUUGUAUACUACUGGCAAGUGGCAACACUUGGGUUUUCAUUGUUAUUCAUAGAUAUGUGUAAAUUCUAUAGAGUGUAGUAACAUGUCAUUCAGAAAAUCUCCAGGUUUCCAGAUGCUAAUGUAUUUAAAGUUGGUUAAAGACACAUAUCCAUGUAAGCUUGAAAAGUACGUCAAUAAUUAGUUCUCUUGUGUUGGGACAGGAACUCAAUGUGGUGCAUGCAAUUGAAACUUUUGUUUUUGGUUGAGCUAUGAUUUGGUUUGUUAUUCACAUAAUUAUCCUGUUCUCUAUUUUGUCAGAAUUGGUUUUAUUAAGUUUGUAAGAAUGUAAGUGCAUUUGCUCAAUUUAGUGUCUUUGAUUCAAGUGUGAAAGUCCAUGCCUUCUCGAGCUUUUAGCAUAAACGUUCCGUGACCAAGCCGCUUAAGAGGGAGUGAGGGACAGUCCGAGAAAGAAAUUAUAACAUCCAGUCCACAACCAUAUGUAUAUAUAUCCGUUUAUUGACUCGUAGUAUCUAUUAAUGGUUUAAAGCUAUCCCUUAUUGUAGAUUCGAAGUCCGAAUUCACACACAAACUUCUAGAAUCUGGUGUCUCUGCACUUCCAGCUGGACCAAAUUCUCAUACUCUCUCCGUCUCAAUUUAUAGGUCCCUUUUGGACAAAAAAUUUGUCCCACAAUACUUGUCCCUCUCUUUUUUCAAUACAAAUUUAUUUCUAUAUUAAUUAUAAAUUUUUUGAAACUCAACAUUAUUCUCAUUUCUCAAUGCACUAAAUCUCUAUAUUUAUUGUGAUUUUUUUGAAACUCAAUUAUAUUCUCCCUUAUCAAUGUACUAAUUAAUGAUAUAUGAGAUAAAAUUAUAUCUAAUCAACUACUUUUUUCUUAAUAUGCGUGUUUAUUCCAAAAAGGACCUAUAAAUUGAGACGGGGAGUACCAUUUAUAAUAUACAAGCCAAGCUCACAAUUAGAUACGUACAGGGUCCCGACAAACCAACAAACCAUCACAAGUCGAUCUAAAAUUAAUCAGAGGUUUGCCCAAAAUUUUAGUAAAUUCUACAUCCGUUAUUAACUUGUAUCUAUACAAACUUCUUAUUCUAAACGGUGUCCAUGUUACAGAAAUGCUCACAAAUGUUUAUUAUGAAAGACGCUAGAGGACUAACUUCGCAGAAAGCCAUUCCUUUUAUUACAUCGUAUCUGACUGUACCCCCUUGAAAUGUAUUGGCAUUUUUAGUUUGUAUAGUAUUUUUUUUCCUUCUCAGUUUGAUAACUCAAAUUUAUGAGUAAAAUUGGAUGUGAUAUGAUAUAGAUGGUACAUUACAUCUGACAUGUUUUAAAUUUGAAAACAGAUUUACGUGUUCAACUUCGCUGUAAUGAACCCAUAAGUGAAGAAUUCCCUUCAGCCAAAUUCAUAUGUGAUGUAUGAAUCACAAUAAUAGUUGCCAGCAGUGUGAUCGCCAAUGUGCUCUACUUUGCAAAACAUUUCAAAAUUCUUCAAAGGUGAUGUUGAAGAUUGCGUGUUUGGUAAAGUUUUCCAUAAAAUUCAACGCCGAUGUCUUGUACAUACAAGUUACUCCCUCCGUCGUUUUCCUAGAUCUUUUGGUUGUCACUUUUUAACGUAAUUUAAUGUGAUUAAAAGGUAUAUUUUCAUAUUUUUUUUAAAUUAAAAUUUAUAGUUUAUAUUUUAUUCAUAAAAAUAUUUUAAGAAUAAUAAAUAAAAAUAUAUUUUUAAUUAUUUUAAAUUACAUGUAAAAUGUUAGAAUGACAGGUGAAAAAGAACUUAUAAUAUAUAAAAGUCAUGCCGACUAGCCAUAACAAAGUCCUUCUUCACAUUGACAUUUAUCUCAACUCCAAGAAGCCUGCCAGGAUUUCUUCUUCACCGACCUUGAAAUUUUUGAUGAGCUCGUUUAUUAUGUUUGUUGCUUUCGACAACAUAAAUUUUCCAUAGAUUUCACCGUAAAUGUAAUAUCUUAAAGUAAAAUUCUGGAUAAAAUCAUUAUUGCGUUUGGUAUUUUCGUCAAACCAUNAAAUUAGAUAUUAAAAUUAUAAGAUAUAAUAUAUAUAUAUAUAUAUAUAUAUAUAUAUAUAUAUAUAUAUAUAUAUAUAUAUAUAUUUUCAUAUCAUAAACAUAUCUUAGUUUAAAUAUUAUUGCACAAAGUAAAUUCAUAUAUUUAAUUAGCUAAUAAUAUACCCUCAGUGUUUGAUUCAGCUUCUUUUCUCAUGUAUUCACUUAUUCCACCCAUUUGUUUAUAUAUACCGGACACCAAAACUAAUAAAAUUAUAUAUAUAUAUAUAUAUAUAUAUAUAUAUAUAAUAUAUAUAGUUAAGUUCUAUGGAGUACAAAAAAAAUUGGAGUAUUGGAGUACAAAGUUUGAUAAAAUGUAAUCUAGUCAUCUAAAUUUCAAUUUUUUUUGUCCAAUAAUAUUUGUAAAUAUUUGACAACCUGCACAUUAUGUUCUGCAACAUAAACAUCGUGAUCAAAUGGUAGAAUAAUUACUUUUAUAAAUCAUAGGACUCUAUGUUCUGCAAUAUAACUAAUAAGCAGAACAAUAAUCUUAAUACUUGUUAAAGUUGAAAGAUAUUAAUGAUUAAUUGACAAUUAUGUGCAAGACAACUUAUAAAUGAUAGAUUAUAUCAAAAUUUGGAUAAUCAAAGAUAUUAUAUAGGAUCAAACUAAAAAAUUAUGAUUUGUACUCCAAUACUCCAAUGUUUUUAUGUACUCCAUAGAACUUAACUCAUAUAUAUAUAUAUUAUAGAUUUAGUUAAUUUUAACCUAUCUUUCUCUUUGUUUUUUUUACUUUUUUAUCCUAUUCAAUUGUUUAUAUUUAUGCACGACGAUUCGUAAAAUUUUACAAAAUAGCAUAAAAUCGAAAGAAAAGUUUAUUAAUGAAAUGUUUAUCUGAUAGAUUAAAAAAAAUGAAACAAAACAGUGGAUGAGAUUAAUUUUUUUUUUUUUUUUUGCUAGUUGAUGAGAUUAAUUUUUGUAUUAUAUUCUUUCCAUCUUUUAUAUGAAACCAUGACUAUUAAAACAUACUUUCAAGUGAUUUAAUUGCAUAAUUAUUUUUUUUACAAAUGUUUUUGUGUAUAAAGAUACAUAAUAAAAAAUUUAAUUAAAAAAAGUCAAAAUUUAUUAUUUUUAUUAAUCAUUCAAAGCACUUAAUAAGUGUAAAAACGGAGAGAAUAAAAGCUAAUAUUUUAGUCAAAUGUUAAGAAUUUAACAGAAAAUUAAGAAAAAAAAUGUAAAGAAUUUCGAGACAACAAGUAUUAUUCUAAUUGUCCAAUACUAAGAGAGUUGAAGUCAAGCUAUAUUUAUUUUUCUUAAAUUAGCCUUGUGUAAUUAAGAAGUAGUUAUAUGUUAAUUAUAUAUUUUGUUUUGAGAGUCGACUCUCGCAAUUAGACUUUUAGUUCUCAUUUUUUUGAAUUUUCAUCCUCUCAUCAAUUAAGCCUUCUUCCCCGUAUCAUCAUUUUUCUAUUUAUCAGCUUUUCAAUAAAACUAAAAUCUAUUUUUUUAUUUUUUUUGGUGAGAUCUUAUUAAAUACCUUGUUAUCAAGGUUGUAGUGGUCCCAUAUUUUUGAGAAGUUAGUAUGCUAUGUUUUGAAAUUUUGUUUAUCGUUUAUGAAUUUUUCUGAAAAGGAUUUAUAAGAUUUUUUCGGUGAUUUAUAAUACUCGUAUUGAUUCUAGGUAGGUGAUGAAUAUGGCAAGAGCACAUUUUUUGCAACAAAAAUGUAUGGGGGUCAUAUAGUCACUUUUAAUUGUCAUAGUAUUUUCAUAAAUAUUCUUAAAAGUUAUAAAAUUACAAAAAAGUUAAAAAAACAUAGUAUUUGAUAAGCUCCUUUAUAAUAUCAAUUUUGUUAACAUAUAUAAAUUUUAAUUUAAUUCCUAAUUUAAAAGUUAAAUUAUUAUUUCUUAUAUCUCCCCUUUCUUUUCCCCGAAAACUUUAAUUAUGUAAUAUAUCUAAAAGCAAUAACAAACAAACUGAGAUAGACAUCUUUGUUUCAAAUAUGCAUUAUUGGUACUUUAAUUUUUUUUUUUAGAAAAUCAAUAUUUUGAGUGUAUAAAAUUUCAAAAGGAUUAGAUUUACUUUUUAUAAUAUAUCCUCUUUAUGUGACAAAUUUGUUUUAUUUAUAUAGACAGAUGUGCUUUGUCUGUUUUCUUAAAACAGGGCAAGGAAAUAUUACAUCCACGUAAAAAAUUUCUUAAAAUUUAGUCAAAUUUAUCCAUAAAUAUACAUAACUCCAAGGUCAAUAACCGUUGUGAAAGUACGACACUAUACUGGUUUAAUGGAGAGUAUAUCACAUGCAACCUGAAGUCUAAACGAUCUCAAUCGCUUGGGUCACAUAAUUAUCACAAAAGUCAAAAAUCAUGAAUCAUCUUUACAACAUUGGGAUCCGCUGUACAUCUAAAGAACAUACUUUUACUCGUAUUACUUAAAAAAGUUAUUUUUCACUUAUAAAUAAAAUUUCACUAAUUAUAAGAAAUAAACUCUUGUUUUAAAUUAAACUAAACUAAACGACUCCUUAGAUAAAUUUAUAGACAGUUUUUAUACUUUUAUAGAAUGCAAUGAAAUGCAGGUUGAACAAAAUGUUUAUAUUAAAUGUUAAUUAGAUUAAAUAUAACGAGUUUAUGAGUUUUUGAAAUUAAGUUCUAAUUACAUUCAUAUUUAGGUUUAAAAAAGUAGUAUAGAUGUUAAUCUUUAAAUUAUACUGUGUUAAUUAUCUAAUCAAAGUAUCUCUUUUGAUUAGAAUUUAAUUUAUUAAAUUAGUGUAGGUUAAUUAAUGUUCUUACACUUUUUUGUUAAUAUUCCAGGAUAUUAUUAGUUCUACUCUCAUAUGUAAAUAUUUUAUUAUCAAAAUGUUCAAAAAUACUUUUUAAUGUGAAUCCGUUAUAUGAUAUUCAUCUUGAACGAAAAACCUCUUUCUUUAUAAAUAAUUGAUUCACGUGAAAAUGAUUAAAUGAUCAAAGAAAGACGGAAGAUUUGCCGACCAAAGAAACCGAGACGUGUAAAUUGUAGUAACGUUGUUUGACUUUAUCUUACGCAUUCUUCUGUCGAUUCCAGAAACAGAAAGGUCAAUUAUUGGCGGGGCACUAGUCACAUUUGUAUGAUAGUGUCACUAUUCGAUAAGCUUCAUUUAGAAAUUACAAAAUCUGCCGACUCCUUGCUCUGCAAUUGGGGUCCCUUCGUGGUUUCCCCUCAAACUUCCAAAAUGCAUUCACAAUUAUAAUUUAUGUACGUUAACACCUUCAAACUCAAAAUAAGUAUAUUAAUUAAAUUUAUUUCAAAAAAAAAAGAAAAAAAGUAUAUUAAUUAAAUAAUACUUCUUUAAUUGAUUAAUUUUGUUAUAAAAAAUAAUAACUUAUAAAACAUGUAUUGGUGAUUUAUAAUAGUAUAUAUAUACUCCUUACGUUUGGUUUGGGAAUGGAGAUUAAGAAAUAAGUGUAAAGUAGUGGAAAAGAGAAAGAAAAAUGUAUGAUGUGGUGAGAGCUAUUGAUUUUUAAUGUAUAAAAGAGAGAUAGGGGAGUAAAAGUGAUGUAAAAAUGGAGGAAAAAUGAGUAAGUGAUGGAACCCAUUGAUUAUUUUUGGUAAGGUUUGAAAUGUAUGGGACAUCCUAAAAAGGAAACGGUAAAGAAAUGAUUAGCACAUGAGGGAGUAUAUUUUUUUAUUAAAUAUAUUGAAUAUUUAUUUUUAUUUUGAAGAUAAAAUUAUGUUCAAGUAAUAUGAAUCUUUAAGUUUCUUUUUUUUGAAGUAAUAAAUCUUUAAGUUAAGAUAGUUUUUUAAUAAAUAAUAAAUGUGUGGUUAAUAUUUUUAUAUAUGUUAAACAAAUAUUUUCAUGUAACAUAUUAAGUAAAUUCUUAAUAUUUUUUUUUUGAUAAAAAAGAAUCAAUUCAUUAAUCAAAAGCCAUAGACAAUCUACAAAUAUAAUCAAAAUUGGACAAACGCUAAAUUAUAUCACUGUUGAAAUUUUCUUUGUUGGAGAGAUAACUAGCUUUGAAAAUGAUUUAAAAUAUAUGUACUUUUUUCACCCAAUUGAUUUUCACUCGACUAUUCUCAAUAAUCAACCAUAAAUACGAUUUCAUAAUAACCUUCGAAUCUAAAUAAACUCAUGAAAAUCAUGCUGAUAUAUAACCUUGGUAGGGAGAACAUCGAAACACACCAAACCGAAAAUCAACAUAAAAUUCAAAUAAAUUGAGAACUCAUUGAAAGGUAACCAAGAUUUCAAACAAGAAAACGGAAAAAAAAAAUUGAGACGGGCGAAAACCGAUGGAAGUCCCUUCAAAUUUUUUUAAUGGAAGCUAGGGUUUGAGGGAGUGAGAGUUGGGAAUGAUACGAAGGAAGUUAGUAUAUAAAUUCUUAAUAUUUAAACCCGUUAAGAAGAUUGAUCCUAAGAAAUAUGAUAACUGGGAACAUUUCUAUGAGUUCUAAUAAUAAUGAUUAUUAAACAGAUUCAAUUAAACAUGUUACAAAUUGAAUAGGUUCGUAUAUAUAUCCAUGUACCCUAAUAAAUUCAGCUAAAUCUGUAGUAGUUGUUUUUGUGUAAUUCUAGUUCAUAAAAUUACUGGGCAGAUUGGUUACAGCUUACUUUGUCUGUGGUCAGUAAUGAAUACAUGCCCUGCUUUAGUAACGUAAUUUUGCGAUUAAUAUUGUGUUAAUAGAUCAGCUCUUCUUUUAAGAGUUGUGUUAAUAGAGCAUAUUAAUGAUUAUAGUAUUUGUCAACCAGCACUCAAUUCCAACUGAGAAAAUAACUCUGUGACAGCUUAAGAAGUUGAAAAUAAUUCAAAUACAUAGCUCCAACUUUAAACAACAGUAAAACAUAUAGUCAUAGAGUGCAAGUGUGCACGAACAUGCAGACAUUAUUAACUAAGGAACAACAGGAGUUGCUACAGCACGAAGCGGGUGAAGCUUGGCCAGAGUGAUCCCAAACUUAUCCUCCAUGUCCAAAUCUCCUGGUGCAAUCCCACCUUCAAGUUUCCAGUCAAAACAAUUUAUGAGGGAUCCCACCAUCAUGGGCACCAUUCUCAUAGCCAGGGGCAAUCCAGGACAUUUCCUGCGACCCGCGCCAAAGGGAAUCAGCUCGAGAUCAUGCCCAUACACAUCAACUUUGGAGUCCAUGAAUCUCUCUGGCUGGAAUGACAGUGGAUUUUCCCAUAGCGUGGGAUCGCGUCCGAAAGCCCAUACAUUCACCAGCACUUGAGAAUUCUUGGGAAUUAUAUAGCCACUUAAUUCAACAUCUUCUGUCACUUGGCGUGGUAGUAAGAAGGGAACUGGUGGGUGCAACCUUGCACUCUCUUUCACAAUGCAUUGCAAAUAAGUCAACUUAGAAAUGUCUGCUUCUUCUACCAUCUUGCCUUUUCCGAUCACUUGAUUCAGCUCAGCUUUCGCCUUGGCCAAUACCGUUUCUGGUUUUCUUAAGACCUCAGCCAUCGCCCAUUCCACUGUACCUGAAGUCGUAUCUGUUCCUGCAAUGAACAAAUCCUGCCCAAGUAUAUAAUUGUUAGAAUACUGAUAAGUACUCCUCCUAGCACUUUCAGAUUUUCGAAGAAUCGAUUACAUAACAUGGUAUCAGAGCUCUCUUAUAUACUCCCUCCGUCCCAGCCAAUUGUAGCCAAUUGUUUACGUUCGGUUUGGGCACGGAGGUUAAGAAAUAUGUAAGUAGUAAAAAAGAGAAAGAAAAGUGGGUAAAAUAGUGGGACCUAUUAAUUUUUAAUGUAUGAAAGGGAGAUAGCGUUAAGAAAUAUGUAAGUAGUAAAAAAGAGAAAGAAAAGUGGGUAAAAUGGUGGGACCCAUUAAUUUUUAACGUAUAAAAGGGAGAUAGCGGAAUAAAAGUAGCGUGAAAACGGAGGAAAGAUUGGGACAUGAUUGGACCCAUAUUUUUGGUAAGUUUUGUAAUAUAAAGAACUGGAAAAGACAUCCCAAAAAGGAAACCGUAAAUAAUCUGGUGGGACGGAGGAGUAUACUAUAGAACAAAUCACUUAUAUACACAAGGAAAAAUUAUCUUACAGUGAGCAAGUGAUUGGCGUGUCGUUUCUCAAUUUCAUUUGUUCGCAACAAUUUUAACAGUUCGUCCAGCACAUCUGUACUAGUACUGUCCUCAGAGUCCCCCAACUUCUUUAGCUCCAAACGCUCAUUUACCAUACCAUCAAACAACUUGAUUACCUUUCCAAAACCAACACUUGAUCGUCCUCUGAUACCUUGAGGAUCGAAAGACCUAAGAAUAGGAAAAUAAUCCACAAAAUUAGGCGUACCUGCCUCCUUCAUAAUAUUCCACACCGUGUCCUUAAACUCCUUAGUGUCACUCCCAUGAUACGGAUCUGCCAUAUCCUUGGAAAACAUGGUAUUCGACAAAAGAUUAAGCGCAGUCUGAAACGCAGCACAACCAAUAUCUACAGCCUCCCCCCUUUCGCUACACUUAUUAACGUAACCAACAAGCUCCUGCACCUUGUUCAUUCGAAGAUGAUGACUUGCAUCCAGCUUGCUUGUAGUAAAAAUAUGAGAGCUCAUAAUUUUUCUUAGAUUCCUCCACUGACUUCCAACAGGCAACCAUGCAACCGAGGACUUGAAAUGGUCGCGAGCACGUAUAGCAUCGGGCAGGGGCCGAGUAGAGAAGGCCAGGUCUUGCUUUUGCAGGACUUCUCGAGCUGCAGUCGGUGAAGUGAUCACUAUGGUGGUUAUACGUCCCAGUCUUAGACUCAUGAUCGGGCCGUAAACCUUAGCCAGUUUGGCUAAGGAUUUAUGCGGUUGUUUGCCGAGGUGGUGUAUAUUUCCUAUUAGUGGCAAGGGGGAUGGUCCUGGUGGAAGCUUUUGAACAGCUUUCACAUGAUUUUUUCGUAGUAAGAAGAGUGAAAAGGCCAGCAGUAUGCACAGCAAACUGAUCAAAAAGAUCUCCAUAUGCGCUGGUUCUGGUUGAACCUUGACGAAGGGUUAAUAUACUGAUAAAAAUAGGAAGAUAUGGGUUGGGAACUUGGGAUGCUUAUGCAAUUGUGUUGGUCUCUGUUUCCAUUUAUACACAAACAUGGCCGACAGAAAAUAGAAAUGAAUGGCUCCAAUUAAAACAACCUAAAAUGUCAAUGUCCAGAAUACUGAUUAAAGAUUUUACGGCUCAAUUAUUUCUCAAAUACAUUUCGCAGGCAUAACAACCAUUUUUUAGUUAAGUAUCGGAUUUUUAUUGGUUUUAAUCUCAUUAAUAGUGAUGACGCUAUUUGUGAUAGCUGUCUUGACAUUAAUGUGAUUCCACCAAUUAAGUCCCGAUUAUCUAAUUGAUUGCUAAACGGUGAUUCAACCGAUUAAUCCUAAUUUAGGUUUUUUUACAAUACUGGUGUGGAUUUUUAUCAUCUCUAGCCUCCUCGUACAUGAAUUCUUAUCGUUUGUGUUUACAAGGCCGAAUCUAGAAAUUUGGGUGCUCUAAACCAUUUUUGAAACUGGUGCCCUUAUUUUUCAAGAUCGUAAAUGAAAAUUUUACAUACAUUUAAAUUCAAUAUACAAAGAAAUCAUAAAAACAUUGGUUUAGGAUUAACAUAAUCAAUUCAAAUGCAUGUAAAUAUAUAAAUACAUAAAUAUAUCAUUAUAUACUACAUAUGUAUAGAUUUUUUAAUGCCCUGAGAUAGUGAUGGUCAAGACGUUCGUCUUGGUAUGCCGACCAAGGGCCAUUCCUGUGUGUUUCUAGUGAGGGAUUUAAGAGUCAACCAGAUAGUUCACAACCUGGUUGGUGACCAAAGACCAUUCCUGGAUGUUUCUGUUGAGAGAUUUAAGAGUCAGCCAGAUAGUUCACAACCUUCGUAACAACCAUAAUCUGCAACGUACUUCUGAAAGCCAUGGCCAUUGCUCUCCAAACACUAACCAUAAAUUAGGACAAUCUUGGGGGCAUGGCCCUGAUAUAGCUCUGUUGUAGACUGAUAUAUAUAUAUAUAUAUUAAUACAGAACAUCACAGCCCGUUUUGGUGUGUAAAAAACUAAACCUCACUCCUUAAUUUGAAAACGCUAAUAAACUUAAGGUUUGUCUAGUAUGUGCCAUGAGACUGAAUUCUAUAAAUUUGGGACAUUUUGAUUGGUGUGUUUAUUGUAUUUGCAUGGGUUCCACAAAUAAUAAGAAAUAGGAGCCAAUUAAAAUGAGUAAAACUUGUAAUUUCUAGUGUUUAGCAUGUGCCAUGAGCACACUGGAAAAACCGAUAAACUUAUUGGUGUAGAAAAUGGCAAAUGAGAAAACAAUCAAAGUGACUGCAACCAAACUGUCUUGGACCAUUGUCAGAUCUAGAAGAUUGUGACAUGUAUAUUAUAUUAUUAAAUCCCAAAAUUUUUUGUCAGUAUUUGGGUAAAAUUAUGAGCUUAUUUAUAUAAUAAAAAACUAAUUUUUAUAUUUCCUAACUAAAAAAAAUUCAAAUUUUUAAUAAUAAUAUUGGACAACAUAGCAAUUAACUUUUUUAACAAAAUCAGAUUCCUAACUAAAAACUCGAUUUCUAAAAAUAACACAUGCAAUAUACAUUAAAAAAUGAAAUAUUAUUAUAUAUAAUUAUUAAUAUACAACUAAUGAUAUAUUUCAACUAAUGUUAUUUUUAAUUACUCCAUGUUAUCAAUUUAAUAUCAUGGAUCCAUACAAUCCAUUUAUACUAUCCUGUACAAUAAUAAUAAUAUUAUUAUUAUCAUCAUUAUUAUUUUUAUAUUAAAAAUGAAAUAUUAAUAAUUUAAUUGGUUAGUCGAAUUUUAUCUGCCGACUAGUAUUAUUCAUAUGGGUCUCCUUAAUAUAUAAUGUUUCCAAUAAAUCAUUUUAUUAUAAAUAAAGCCAAAAAUUUUAAAAAUUCGGUUAAUAUGAUCGAUUUGUAUGUCAAUUAAAUUUAAACUAUAGAAGACAAAUUUAUAGAUGUUAAAAAUCACUAUACGGGUUAUAAGCUGGUGAUGAUUAAAAAGCAAUUAUUAAAAGUAUAAUUUUUAAACAAUGAUAAACAUACAGUCUUAGAGUGGCAUGUAAAAAAAAGUAGUCGUCACGGAACAACAAGAGUUGCUAGAGCACGAAGGGGAUGAAGCUUGGCCAGAGUGAUCCCGAACUUAUCCUCCAUGUCCAACUCCCCUGCUGCAAUAUCACCUUCAAGUUCCCAGUCAAAACAAUUUAUGAGGGAUCCCACCAUGAUGGGCACCAUCCUCAUGGCCAGGGGCAAUCCAGGACAUUUCCUUCGACCCGCGCCAAAUGGAAUCAGCUCGAGAUCAUGCCCAUACACAUCAACUUUGGAGUCCGUGAAUCUCUCCGGCUGGAAUGACAGUGGAUUUUCCCAUAGGGCAGGAUCGCGCCCAAAAGACCAUACAUUCACCAGCACUUGCGAAUUUUUGGGAAUUAUAUAGCCACUUAAUUCAACAUCUUCUGUCACUUGGCGUGGUAGCAAGAAGGGAACCGGUGGGUGCAACCUUGCACUCUCUUUCACAAUGCAUUGCAAAUAAGUCAACUUAG